AAUGAACGCUGGCGGCAGGCCUAAAACAUGCAAGUCGAACGCUUGUAGCAAUACAGGAGUGGCGCACGGGUGCGUAACACGUGGGAAUAUGCCUAUUGGUACGGAACAGCUCCGGGAAACUGGAAUUAAUACCGUAUGGUCCCUUCGGGGUAAAGAUUUAUCGCCAAUAGAUUAGCCCGCGGGGGAUUAGCUAGUGGGUAGGGUAAUGGCCUACCAAGGCGAAGAUACAUAGCUGGUCUGAGAAGACGAUCAGACACACUGAGACUGAGACACGGCCCAGACUCCUACGGGAGGCAGCAGUUAGGAAUAUUGGACAAUGGGCGCAAGCCUGAUCCAGCCAUGCCGCGUGAGUGAUGAAGGCCUUCGGGUUGUAAAACUCUUUAGCCGAUGAAUAUAAUGACUGUAGUCGGAAAAUAAGCCCCGGCUAACUUCGUGCCAGCCGCCGCCGUAA
This 451-nucleotide ribosomal RNA is filed under the name uncultured bacterium. Its description in RNAcentral is "partial 16S ribosomal RNA". It matches the Rfam family "Bacterial small subunit ribosomal RNA", at positions 29 to 523 of the family's 1533-position model. The record is from RNAcentral.